UUUGUAAAUUGUGAAGAUUUAUGUAAUUUUAAACCAUUAUGUUUGUCGAAAAUUAGGAUUGUGUUGGAGCAAUAGAUGGUACACAUGUUCGUGCAUCUGUGCCACCUGAAAUACAAGGAAGAUUUCGUGGUCGCAAAGAUGGAACCACGCAAAAUGUGUUAGCUGCCAUUAGUUUUGACUUAAAGUUCACCUAUGUGUUGGCUGGAUGGGAAGGCAGUGCACAUGAUUCACGUGUAUUAAAUGAUGCAUUUGCUAGGCCAGGGGGAUUUUCAAUUCCCAAUGGUAAAUUUUAUCUUGGUGAUGCUGGGUAUGGUAAUAAAAAUGGAAUAUUGUCACCGUAUCGGAGUGUACGAUAUCACUUGAAAGAGUUUAGUGAUCGUCCUCCUGAGAAUGCGCAAGAAUUGUUCAACCUCCGACACUCUUCAUUGAGAACUACCAUUGAGCGAGGGUUUGGAGUGGUGAAAAAACGUUUUCGAGUGUUGGAUGCAGAACCAUAUUGGUCUUUCCCAACCUAAGUGAAAGUAGUGUUAGCGUGUUGUGUGGUUCAUAAUCACAUUAUGGGGGUUGAACCAAAUGACCAUAUUAUGGAAGAUGCAAUGAACCAAGUAGAGCUUAGUGACCACCAACAAGAAACACAAUCCCAUCGGGAGUCCGUCGAAGAUAGUAGAUCAUGGAAUGCUAAGAGAGAUGAGAUAUGCCAAGCCAUGUGGUCUGAUUAUAUCAGGAGUGGAGAGUAGUAUUUUAUUUAGAUUUCUAUGAUUGUAAUGUGUUUUUCCUUGUUGUUUUUUUGUAAAGACAAUGUAUGUAAUAUAGACUUUUGGUGAUGUAAUGAAAAAGAAUUUUUAGCAUUACAUUGUUAUUUGAUGGUAUUACAUUGUCAUUUCCAUAGUUAGCAUGUUCCAUUCUGUUGUACACAUUCAUAAGCGUGGUUGUAUGUGUGUUUGAUUUGUUAUUCAUGUUCCGAGCGUAAUUACUAAAUGCUACUCUGACUAUACUAUUUUCAUAUGUAGUAAUGUCAAAGGGCAAAGAAAAAGUUAGCGGCAGCAAGCAAUUUAGGUGGCUGCCACCUAUGCAUGAGAUGAUGCUAAAGAUACUUACAGAGGAGGCUGGAAAGGGCAAUAAGCCCUUUAAUACUUUUAGGGCCGGCUCCUUUGCUCUUGUAGCGAAGGAGAUAACGGCCCAUUUCGGGGUUGAGUGCCACCCUGUAUUUGUGGAGAACCGGAUGCGGACUCUAAGGUCCAUGUGGGCAACUAUUCAAGAGCUUAGAAGGAAGAGUGGAUUCGGUUGGGACGAAAAUCUGAAAAUGAUAACUUGUGACGCUAAAACAUACCAAGAAGAAGUUAUGGCACAUCGGAAGCAUGCCGAGUAUCUGAACAAAAAAAUUGAGUUUUACGAUAAAUUAGCGAUUGUGAU
This is a long non-coding RNA of Quercus lobata, 1413 nucleotides long. RefSeq lists it as uncharacterized. The record is from RefSeq and is a predicted model, not a curated record. NCBI's taxonomy places the organism in Eukaryota, Viridiplantae, Streptophyta, Magnoliopsida, Fagales, Fagaceae. The transcript is spliced from 3 exons.